This is a long non-coding RNA of Rhagoletis pomonella (apple maggot), 1850 nucleotides long. RefSeq lists it as uncharacterized. The record is from RefSeq and is a predicted model, not a curated record. The transcript is spliced from 2 exons. Lineage: Eukaryota; Metazoa; Arthropoda; Insecta; Diptera; Tephritidae.
CAUCAGAAGGCAUCCCGUCGCUGUCCUGAGUGCCGUGUUUUGGCAGGUCUGCAGCUUCAUCCACUGCGUCCUAAUAGUCCCCGGCGACAAAACAGACGCAGCAUAGUUUCACAAGAAGUCAAAGUGUAAGGGUGAAAGGACCCCACCUUAUGAAACCUCUUAUUUGAUUCUUCUAGGGGUUGAGCUUUGAUCUCGAAAGAUUACUGACGAUUGUGCAAUGACAGACGCUGUCAUACGCCUUUGAUAAGUCCAACGCAACUAAGACUGUUCUCUCACAGGGGAGGUUGCGGUUUAGGCCACGAGUUAUCUGGGUGUUUAUGGCGUUAAGUGCUGUUGUUGUGCUUUGCACUUUACGGACACCAUGCUGAUGCUUCACUGGGGUCAGGUGGUGGAUGAACUACGGGAGUAGCAGGGCCUCUAGUGUCUUCGCGACCGGGGAAAGGAGCGUUAUCGGGCGAUAAGAAUCUCCUUUGUUAGCGGGUUUCUCAGGUUUAAGCAGUGGGACCGCUCUCCCCGGUUUCCACACAUCAGGAAUGAUGAGAAUGGCCAUUGACAGGUUGAGGACCUUUGUGAGAUAUGCUAUGUUUCAGCAUAGGCAUGCACAUUUUGUCGGGUUCAUUGGCUUUAAAGGCUUUCGCCUUCCCGAUGGCCACAUUGACUUCCCCGCUGGUGAAAGUAAGUGGUGCACGGUUUUUGGGCAGUUUGUGCAGCCUUCUGGUCAGUCGACUUUUGGCCUUAUUCACCGAAGGAUGUAAUAUGAACAGCCGGCUAAAAUUGUAUUUCUUCGGGUCCGGCGAGGUGUGACCAUCGAAUGAAAUUUCCACCCUAUCGUCGCGCCUCGUCGGCUUGGACAAUGACCUCACGGUUGACCAGAGCUUACUCACACCAGAGGCGAAGUUGCAAGUCUUCAGAUGCUCUUCGCACUUCUUCCUCUAAUGUACGUUCACGAACUAAUUGCCAAAUCUCGCGAGAUGAGAUCCCUGAUACGGGGAUUCCCGGGAUCGGCCUGAUAAAUGUUGUCACGCUCAUCGGCAAGGACAGCUGCUUCAGCAGGAAAAUUCGGACGGGGCAGCAGCAGCCCCAACCAUGGGAAUUUAAGCUCACCUACGUGAACGUCGGUUCGUGUGGGUAGGGCAGUGAAGGUGCUUUCAGUAACAUCCGCGAAGCCUUUCCAGUCAGCUUUGGAGAAGUUGACAUAAGUCCGGUGAUCCGUGGAAGCAAAGUCGGCUGGUUUAUCAAUCGAGAUAACUAUGGGCAGAUGGUCUGAUUCUAAGUUCAGCAUAGCUUUAAUUACAACAAACGGUCUUUAUUUUUAAUAGUUCAUUUUUCUAGAAAGGUAUUUUUAUUUUAUUUUAUUUAAUUUUCGUAAAAUUUGGGUUAUACGCAUGAAACAUUAUGGAUGAACGCUAAACGUACACAUUUUACAUAUGUAAAACAAUUUUUAUAAUUUGAUUUUAUUGUAAUGAUACCUUAUGAUAAUGAAGUGUUUUCGCUCAAUAGGUAUUGCAAGAUAUUGCCAUACCAAAUUAAAUUAACGGUAAUUAGAAACUAACAAAAGUUGUGUAAAAAAUUAAGUGAACAAAAUUUGGACAGCGCAAAAAUUAUAUAAACAUAUACACAUGUGACAUAAUAAAUUACAAUAAACUGUGUAUUAGGUAAAGAGUUCAAACAAAAAAAAAAUGAACAAUAAGAUGUAUAAAUAGUAGCAUACGUAUGUACAUAUAUGUACAUAUGUAUUAUGCAAUUAAAAUACUUAGAUACGAAGGCAACAAAAAAAAAUCAACGUACGAUGUACCUUAAUAUCAGCUGUGCAGAUUAAGAUAGAUGAAAAUAGUUAAUGGUAGUUGUAA